AAAUUGCAGAAGGCGGCUGUGGUUGGGCCACGUGUGAUUCAUGGUAUAUUUGGGCUAAAACGCGGUGUGGGACAGAAAGCUAGACUAAGGCCAUAUUGAUGACACGACUGCAUGUCAGGAUAAGGAGCUGGGAACAAGGUAAUGGAGAGGGGACAGGAGACUUGAUGGCAAAUUUUGCCACUUUAUUCCGUACUGUAGGAAAAGUGCAAAAUUGGACAGAUACUGACGAUCCUGAAUCACAAGUCGGUCAGAAAGGGCUGAGAAAACCUUAAAAUAUUAUGCAGGGGUGUUUUGUUUUGUUUUGUUUUGUUUUGUUUUGUUUUUAUUUGGUGACACAGCUGAAUGCCCUUAUCCCAGAAAUCUGAGCAGACUUCCGCAAGCCAGGCUGAAGAUCAGUGACCAACUCCUUCCCCACUUGCUCGGGUUUCCUACUUGCAAAACUUCACCAGAGGACACUGAGAACACAUUUGGGCUUCUCAGCCUACGCAGAACAGCUUAAAGUGUUUAUUCAUGAGGGAAGAACUGGGUGCCCCGUGGUCCCUGGGUGGAGGGAGACAGCUCAUCUUGAAAUGACUCACCCUUGGCCUCCCCAGGCCACAUGAUACCUUCAUUUUCAGUAACAGCCAUUUACGCCGCUGAUUUGCCUAAUGUCACCUGCAAAUGCCCCAGUUCCCGAGGCUACUGCGGCCAGAGCUCCCGCUUUGGGCUCAGGUCUGCAGCUGGGCAGUUGGCUUAAAGGGGGAAGGGGCACCCCAGUGACCUGUGGCUACAGCCCUGGGCUCCAGUCCUGCCUCCGCCACAGUUCCCCCGCGUGACCUUGGCAAAGUCCCCUCUUUCUGUGUGCAGCUGUGUCCUCGCCACCACCCACCUUGAGGGCCGGGCCGGAUCGGCCCUCCUGGGAACAGUCACCUCAUUCCCUCCUGGGAGGCAUCAUCGUAUCCGAGCACGCCUUACUAUCCACGUACAAUGGACGUUUCCCGGAAGUCGACUCACUGUUGAGACACAGCAGUGGAUGUCACUCGGCCAUUUCGUGAACGGGGUGCCAUGCGGAUCAUCCCACGGUCUCCCGGGUGUGUGUACGCGGCGUGUGGGUGUGCGCCACCAGGGACGAUUGUAACCCAUCGUUAGCAGGUUUGUGCCCCUGCCACACGGGAUGCCCUUCCUGGAAAGGUCACUUCCGGCCUCCCGAUCUCUAAACCCACGGCUCCUAUUUAUUCGGCCCUCGUUGACCUGACUCCCAGCCCCCUUGAAAUGUCCCUCGAAGUGUUCUCUGUCCUGGGGCUCUGUGACCCCACCUCGUCUUUUUCUCUUUUCUGUUCUUCAGCAAGAAUUGGUGGCUUCAUAUCUGGUUUUGAAAGGUAACAUUUCCACUUAAUAGAAAUUCAAAGCCCCGUGAGUCAUCACUUCUUUGUAGGUCCAUGUGGCUUGGAAGCAAGUUUACGGCACCAAGCGUUCCACGACAGAAGGGGAAGCGUUUUGAGUAUUUUCCAGAGGGCACGGGAAGCCCCUCAACCACCAGAGCCCCGUGUGUCACAGUGCACAGUUCGGUGGUAUUAAAUAACUCGCGCCUGGGUGGCUCAGCUGGUUGAGUUGCCGAUUUCGAUUCAGGUCACGAUCUCACCGCUCAUGCGUUCGAGACCCGAGUCAGGCU
Long non-coding RNA from Leopardus geoffroyi (Geoffroy's cat), 1651 nucleotides. RefSeq lists it as uncharacterized. The record is from RefSeq and is a predicted model, not a curated record. The transcript is spliced from 3 exons. Lineage: Eukaryota; Metazoa; Chordata; Mammalia; Carnivora; Felidae.